UGUAAAUGAAAAUGUUUACAUUUAAAAUGUUUGCAGAUAAAAUUAAUCUUAUCAAAUAUAUUUAUGUUUGUAUUUAGAUGAAGUAUUUUAUUAUGAAACUUGUACUUUGAAGAAUAUUAAAUGCAGAACAAAAUAAAUUACCAGAAUAAGUAUUUCUUGGCAAGGAAAAUUUUUUAAAUUGUGAGAUGUUUAUAACAGAUUCUAGUCCUGCAGUGGACUGAACGCUAUGACACGGUUUACAGUAAGACACCGAAAUCAAACAUCAGACUGCGGUCAGUGACCACUUCGAUCAGUCUAAGAAGGGACCAAGGAUGUGCGGUAUUGGCUCUCAUUUAACUGUUCUACCGUAAAGUGUUUGACUUUAAGCAAGGGUGCCAUUCCUUCUGCAGAGGAUAAAAAUUGUGAUGCCAUGUCUUUGAAUCAUCCUCAGGGAUGUUUCCCAUAUCGUCGCCAAUAGCCCAUUGUGCAGCUGUAGCGCAACGUAAAUAAACUACAACAACAACCGAUUCUAAAUUUAAGAAAGUAUAAAUUCAGGGAAAAAAUCUACCUUAGGAUUGUAUAAAGAACUUUUAAUUUUAUAAAGAAACGAAUUUUCUGUAGUUAAAAACAGCAGAAUAAGUAAAUACAAAAAUUUAGUUACUGAUCACAGUGAAGCUUUAAAUGUUUUUUUUGUUCAUUGAACAGAACAUUUAAUUUUUUAGCAGGACAACUUGUAAUCAUUUACAUCCUUUUAUCAUUAAAAGAUACAAAAAUAAGACUUUCUGUAAAAAAAGUCCCAAAUGUCAUUCAUUGUUUUAUUGAAGCAUUCAUGUUAAAUUUCUCAUCCUGUUUCAGGAGUCCACCAGGAGAAUAAAAAUUUUGCAAAUACCUAAUUUGAUAUUUUAAUUUGUGAUGUUUGAAUAUAAACUUUAUCAAAACUUAUUGGAUGUGAACUACAAAAUUUAACUACAUUGCUACAACAAAGGCCCAAGGAAAUGCAUCCCUGUUUUAUAUUUUACUACUAAGGCCAACUAUCGAAUAUGGACUUCAAAAUUUAGUGACAGAGGUACAACAAAUGCCAGCAUACACUUGCCUGUUUCUUUCAAUAUUUAUUUGAAAAAUUGUCAGAAUAAAGGUUUUACUUUUUUAA
This is a non-coding RNA of Parasteatoda tepidariorum (common house spider), 1129 nucleotides long. The record is from RefSeq and is a predicted model, not a curated record. Lineage: Eukaryota; Metazoa; Arthropoda; Arachnida; Araneae; Theridiidae.